AUGGAUAUAAAGUGCAGGAUGAUGAGCAUUUGGCAAAAAUUAGUUGCAGUCAUCACCAAGACAGAAAACCUCAAACCGUGCACGAGGGAUAAAGGCAUAGAGAGAGUGGCAAAUACGACAGAUCAUGCCAUCAGGGGAAAAUAUCUAUGUGGUGGCAUGCAACUCACCAUUAAGAAAGACAUUCUUGACAUCAAGCUAAGAGAUAGACCAGUGGCGAGCAAAUAUCACAACGAAAAGUGUGCGAAGAGUGGUCACAUGGGCCAUUUGAGGAAAUGUCUUGUCGUAGUCAUAGCCAUGUUUCUAUCGAAAGCCCAAGUCAUAAGACGAGCUUUGUAA
This 336-nucleotide ribosomal RNA is filed under the name Triticum aestivum (bread wheat). RNAcentral describes it as "partial small subunit ribosomal RNA". The record is from RNAcentral. Lineage: Eukaryota; Viridiplantae; Streptophyta; Magnoliopsida; Poales; Poaceae.